RNAcentral lists this ribosomal RNA (236 nucleotides) under uncultured bacterium. Its description in RNAcentral is "partial 16S ribosomal RNA". It matches the Rfam family "Bacterial small subunit ribosomal RNA", at positions 99 to 334 of the family's 1533-position model. The record is from RNAcentral.
CGAACGGGUGAGUAACGCGUGAGGAACCUGCCUCAAAGAGGGGACAACAGUUGGAAACGACUGCUAAUACCGCAUAAGCCCACGGCUCGGCAUCGAGCAGAGGGAAAAGGAACAAUCCGCUUUGAGAUGGCCUCGCGUCCGAUUAGCUAGUUGGUGAGGUAACGGCCCACCAAGGCGACGAUCGGUAGCCGGACUGAGAGGUUGAACGGCCACAUUGGGACUGAGCCACGGCCCAG